RNAcentral lists this long non-coding RNA (220 nucleotides) under Elaeis guineensis (African oil palm). Its description in RNAcentral is "long non-coding RNA (EGUI_LNC008870)". Lineage: Eukaryota; Viridiplantae; Streptophyta; Magnoliopsida; Arecales; Arecaceae. The record is from RNAcentral.
AUCCAUUUCAAAAAAUAUUUAUGAAGUCCAAUUAUGAGUCUAUAACCUGUCAAAAAGUCUUUUCUAAGAGCUUCAAAACCAACAUACAAUCUCUAAAAUUCUAAUCUAUUAGCAGACCUCUCAACCUUUAUAAUUACUAUUAUGCCUUUAUUCCUUAUUCGGAUCUCUUUACAGUAGUCAAGUAGUUUGCCAUAAUAUUUGUUAUGACAUCUUCUUAUAG